RNAcentral lists this ribosomal RNA (433 nucleotides) under uncultured bacterium. RNAcentral describes it as "partial 16S ribosomal RNA". It matches the Rfam family "Bacterial small subunit ribosomal RNA", at positions 29 to 507 of the family's 1533-position model. The record is from RNAcentral.
AACGAACGCUGGCGGCAUGCCUAACACAUGCAAGUCGAACGAGACCUUCGGGACUAGUGGCGCACGGGUGCGUAACGCGUGGGAACCUUCCCUUAGGUUCGGAAUAACUCUCCGACAGGGGUGCUAAUACCGGAUAAUGUCCUCGAACCAAAGAUUGAUCGCCUUUGGAUGGGCCCGCGUUGGUUUAGCUUGUUGGUAGUGUAAAAGCCUACCAAGGCGACGAUCCAUAGCUGGUCAGAGAGGAUGAUCAGCCACACUGGGACUGAGACACGGCCGAGACUACUACGGGAGGCAGCAGUGGGGAAUAUAGGAAUAUCGGCGAAAGGAUGAAGGAGCUAUGCCGGGUGAGUGAUGAAGGUGUUAGAGUAGUAAAGCUCUUUUACCCGGGAUGAUAAUGACAGUACCGAGAGAAUAAGCACCGGCUAACUCCGUG